RNAcentral lists this transfer RNA (73 nucleotides) under Mesocricetus auratus (golden hamster). It matches the Rfam family "tRNA". From Rfam's summary of the family: Transfer RNA (tRNA) molecules are approximately 80 nucleotides in length. Their secondary structure includes four short double-helical elements and three loops (D, anti-codon, and T loops). The record is from Rfam by way of RNAcentral. Lineage: Eukaryota; Metazoa; Chordata; Mammalia; Rodentia; Cricetidae.
GUAGAUAUAGCUCAGUGGUUAAGGGCACUGGCUAUUCUGCCAUUUGACCUGGGUUUGAUUCCCAGCACCCACA